This 230-nucleotide ribosomal RNA is filed under the name uncultured bacterium. Its description in RNAcentral is "partial 16S ribosomal RNA". It matches the Rfam family "Bacterial small subunit ribosomal RNA", at positions 15 to 228 of the family's 1533-position model. The record is from RNAcentral.
GAUCAUGGCUCAGGAUGAACGCUGGCGGCGUGCCUAACACAUGCAAGUCGAACGAGAUGCGUAUUGGAAAGCUUCGGCCGGAAGAUACGUUAUCUAGUGGGCGGACGGGUGAGUAACACGUGGGUAACCUGCCUUAUGGAGGGGGAGUAACAGAGAGAAAUCACUGCUAAUACCGCAUAAGCACACAUUGCCGCAUGGCAGAGUGUGAAAGNUUUAUCGCCAUAAGAUGG